Molecule: long non-coding RNA, 1086 nt
Filed under: Oryza sativa Indica Group (long-grained rice)
Lineage: Eukaryota; Viridiplantae; Streptophyta; Magnoliopsida; Poales; Poaceae
Description: lncRNA OsKYG_08g0006800
Source: RNAcentral
GCGCCGCACCCGCGAUUCCCCAUCCACCCACACCACCGCACGCUGCCUCCCACACCCCGCGAUUCCCACACCCCGCGCCGCCGUCCUCCUCCUGCGCCGCCGUCCUCCUCCUGCUGACCCCGCCACCGCCGGAGCCCGACCUCGACGAGCCCGACCCCGACGCCUCCCCUCCUCCGACGAGCCCGACCCCGAUGCCUACCCUCCUCCGACGAGCCCGACCACGAUGCCUCCUGCAGAUCCGCGCCGACUCCACGCGCCGCCGUCCUCCUCUACUUCUCCAUCGACUCCUCCUCCGGCCGGCCGGCUUCCGCUGUCGGCUCCUCCCUCUUCCCCAAUGCCUUCCCAUCGCUGCAGUUGAGUCCACCCUCUUCCCCACCUCCUCCGCCGCCUCCCCAACCUCCAGGUUUAGUUUAGUGGUCCACUAUCGAUUUUGCUGCAAUCAACCUACGUUGUUGAGCAUCUACCCAGCAGGACAUCUCAAGAAAAACUUCGUACCACGGAAAAAGAAUGGCAAGAGAAAGAGGAAAUGAGAAUACUACCUACCUUAAUGAAUAUGAAAGAGGGAGAGCAGAAAGAAUUAAGAAAAACAAUAUAGCACUACAAGCUAUAAUUCAAAAGAGAAGGGAGUUGGCUAAAUCAAGCGAGGGAAAUCUCGGGUCUGCUUCUACUCAUCAGGAAACAAGAAAGAGGAAGAGAGUCGAUUGCGCUGGAAGUGAACCAGCUAGACAUGAAUCUGGGUUGCCAAAUCUGUCUAGAUCAACAAGGAGGGGAACAGGGAGUAGUACAAGUACACACGAUGAAGAUGAAGAACUUGUUGCUAAUACAAAUCAUCUAUUCAUGCACGAUUGCGAAAGAAAUGAUGAGCUUGCAGAAAAUGGAGCGCUACAAGCUGUCAUUGAAAAGAAAAAGGAGUUGGCUAACUUAAGCGAGGAAAAUCUUGGGUCUGCCUCUACUCAUCAGGAAACAAGAAAGAGGAAGGAUGAACAAGAGAGUGCAAAUGGCGAAGCUCAGCCGAGUGAUGAGGAAAACAAUUCCUAUGGAAUGAUACCUCCAAGACCUGCAGCUCCUUCACCGCAAGAACACAUG